CGGCGAGUGAAGCGGCAACAGCUCAAAUUUGAAAUCUGGCCCUUGGGUCCAAGUUGUAAUUUGUAGAGGAUGCUUUUGUUGCGGUGCCUUCCGAGUUCCCUGGAACGGGACGCCUUAGAGGGUGAGAGCCCCUGUACGGUUGGACGCCUACCCUCUGUAAAGCUCCUUCGACGAGUCGAGUAGUUUGGAAAUGCUGCUCUAAAUGGGAGGUAUAUUUCUUCUAAAGCUAAAUACUGNCCAGAGACCGAUAGCGCACAAGUAGAGUGAUCGAAAGAUGAAAAGCACUUUGAAAAGAGGGUUAAAUAGCACGUGAAAUUGUUGAAAGGGAAGCGUUUAUCACCAGACUUUUUCUGGGGGGAUCAUCCGGUGUUCUCACCGGUGCACUUCCCCCAKUUGAGGCCAGCAUCGGUUUUCGGAGGGGGAUAAAAKUUUCGGGAAUGUGACUCCCUCGGGAGUGUUAUAGCCCGUUACAUAAUACCCUUCUGGGGACCGAGGUUCGCGCAUCUGCAAGGAUGCUGGCAUAAUGGUGAUCAACGACCCGCCUUGAAACACGGACCAAGGAUUCAAACUUUUAU
RNAcentral lists this ribosomal RNA (575 nucleotides) under Acrodontium crateriforme. RNAcentral's name for it is "partial large subunit ribosomal RNA". Lineage: Eukaryota; Fungi; Ascomycota; Dothideomycetes; Mycosphaerellales; Teratosphaeriaceae. The record is from RNAcentral.